CUGAAGAAAGGACCUUAGCUACGAAGGAGGACCAGUGGAGCUGCCGCAGCCGGAGGUCCCCCCGUCGGUAGGUUCAAUUUUCUUGUGAUUUUCUGGCCAACCGAGGUCUCUAACGUAUUUUUCUGCGAGGAUAUGACCAAAACCACCCAAGAUGAGGCAAACUGCCGCCAUAGGCAGCGGAAUCGGCACUCGAGCAUGGCAACACCGCUAUGUCGGAACACCAAAAUUUGCUGAAAUGAGUUUUCGACACUGAUUUUGAAUUUUUGGAGUAUUUUUAGAUAUGUGACAAUUGUUUUGAAUUUCACAUAACAGAGAACCUAGUACUUAUUAGGACGUGUAAUAGACAGUUCAAUAUCUCAAAAUAUCGAUC
This 370-nucleotide long non-coding RNA is filed under the name Carica papaya (papaya). RNAcentral describes it as "long non-coding RNA (CPAP_LNC011722)". The record is from RNAcentral. Lineage: Eukaryota; Viridiplantae; Streptophyta; Magnoliopsida; Brassicales; Caricaceae.